Molecule: ribosomal RNA, 1532 nt
Filed under: Staphylococcus aureus
Lineage: Bacteria; Bacillati; Bacillota; Bacilli; Caryophanales; Staphylococcaceae
Description: bacterial SSU rRNA
Rfam family: Bacterial small subunit ribosomal RNA
Source: RNAcentral
CUCAGAUUGAACGCUGGCGGCAGGCCUAACACAUGCAAGUCGAACGGUAACAGGAAGCAGCUUGCUGCUUCGCUGACGAGUGGCGGACGGGUGAGUAAUGUCUGGGAAACUGCCUGAUGGAGGGGGAUAACUACUGGAAACGGUGGCUAAUACCGCAUAACGUCGCAAGACCAAAGAGGGGGACCUUCGGGCCUCUUGCCAUCAGAUGUGCCCAGAUGGGAUUAGCUUGUUGGUGAGGUAACGGCUCACCAAGGCGACGAUCCCUAGCUGGUCUGAGAGGAUGACCAGCCACACUGGAACUGAGACACGGUCCAGACUCCUACGGGAGGCAGCAGUGGGGAAUAUUGCACAAUGGGCGCAAGCCUGAUGCAGCCAUGCCGCGUGUAUGAAGAAGGCCUUCGGGUUGUAAAGUACUUUCAGCGGGGAGGAAGGUGUUGUGGUUAAUAACCGCAGCAAUUGACGUUACCCGCAGAAGAAGCACCGGCUAACUCCGUGCCAGCAGCCGCGGUAAUACGGAGGGUGCAAGCGUUAAUCGGAAUUACUGGGCGUAAAGCGCACGCAGGCGGUCUGUCAAGUCGGAUGUGAAAUCCCCGGGCUCAACCUGGGAACUGCAUUCGAAACUGGCAGGCUUGAGUCUUGUAGAGGGGGGUAGAAUUCCAGGUGUAGCGGUGAAAUGCGUAGAGAUCUGGAGGAAUACCGGUGGCGAAGGCGGCCCCCUGGACAAAGACUGACGCUCAGGUGCGAAAGCGUGGGGAGCAAACAGGAUUAGAUACCCUGGUAGUCCACGCCGUAAACGAUGUCUACUUGGAGGUUGUGCCCUUGAGGCGUGGCUUCCGGAGCUAACGCGUUAAGUAGACCGCCUGGGGAGUACGGCCGCAAGGUUAAAACUCAAAUGAAUUGACGGGGGCCCGCACAAGCGGUGGAGCAUGUGGUUUAAUUCGAUGCAACGCGAAGAACCUUACCUGGUCUUGACAUCCACAGAACUUUCCAGAGAUGGAUUGGUGCCUUCGGGAACUGUGAGACAGGUGCUGCAUGGCUGUCGUCAGCUCGUGUUGUGAAAUGUUGGGUUAAGUCCCGCAACGAGCGCAACCCUUAUCCUUUGUUGCCAGCGAUUAGGUCGGGAACUCAAAGGAGACUGCCAGUGAUAAACUGGAGGAAGGUGGGGAUGACGUCAAGUCAUCAUGGCCCUUACGACCAGGGCUACACACGUGCUACAAUGGCGCAUACAAAGAGAAGCGACCUCGCGAGAGCAAGCGGACCUCAUAAAGUGCGUCGUAGUCCGGAUUGGAGUCUGCAACUCGACUCCAUGAAGUCGGAAUCGCUAGUAAUCGUGGAUCAGAAUGCCACGGUGAAUACGUUCCCGGGCCUUGUACACACCGCCCGUCACACCAUGGGAGUGGGUUGCAAAAGAAGUAGGUAGCUUAACCUUCGGGAGGGCGCUUACCACUUUGUGAUUCAUGACUGGGGUGAAGUCGUAACAAGGUAACCGUAGGGGAACCUGCGGUUGGAUCACCUCCUUACCUUAAAGAAGC